Calidris pygmaea (Spoon-billed sandpiper) is the source of this 142-nucleotide small nucleolar RNA. Ensembl annotates it as small nucleolar RNA, C/D box 94. The record is from Ensembl. Lineage: Eukaryota; Metazoa; Chordata; Aves; Charadriiformes; Scolopacidae.
AUGGCAAUGAUGAUUGGCGCAGGGGUACGGACCUCAGCUAGAUCAUGGGAGCUGAAUGCAAACUUUUUGUUUCGGUGCAGCUGGCAUGUGGCAGGCUCACUGGAAACAGGUUUGCAUGAGACUUCGCCAAAAACUGAGCCAU